AACGAACGCUGGCGGCGUGCCUACACAUGCAAGUCGAACGAGAAAGGGGCUUCGGCUCCGAGUAAAGUGGCGCACGGGUGAGUAACACGUAGGUAACCUGCCUCUAAGAUUGGGAUAACCUGUCGAAAGACGAGCUAAUACCAAAUGAGACCACAGUCUCUUCGGAGACAGGGGUCAAAGGUAGCCUCUAUUUAUAAGCUAUCGCUCAGAGAUGGGCCUGCGUACCAUGAGCGAGUUGGUGAGGUAACGGCUCACCAAGGCAAAGAUGGUUAGCUGGUCUGAGAGGAUGAUCAGCCACACUGGAACUGAGACACGGUCCAGACUCCUACGGGAGGCAGCAGUGGGGAAUAUUGCGCAAUGGGCGAAAGCCUGACGCAGCAACGCCGCGUGAGUGAUGAAGGCCUUCGGGUCGUAAAGCUCUGUCGGAGGGGACGAAUGCUCUUGAGGUUAACAGCCUCGGGAGGUGACGGUACCCUCAAAGGAAGCACCGGCUAACUCUGUGCCAGCAGCCGCCGUAA
This 518-nucleotide ribosomal RNA is filed under the name uncultured bacterium. RNAcentral describes it as "partial 16S ribosomal RNA". It matches the Rfam family "Bacterial small subunit ribosomal RNA", at positions 29 to 523 of the family's 1533-position model. The record is from RNAcentral.